RNAcentral lists this unclassified non-coding RNA (434 nucleotides) under Anisochaeta mikanioides. Its description in RNAcentral is "partial external transcribed spacer". The record is from RNAcentral. Lineage: Eukaryota; Viridiplantae; Streptophyta; Magnoliopsida; Asterales; Asteraceae.
CAGGUGGUUGGCUGUCUGCUUGCGCAACAACUUCCACCCGGCAUGCCUCUUCAGUUGUGCAUCAAGGCUUGCAUCGCCUUGGUGCAUUGUGGGUUUCCUGUGUUGCCUACCUAAGUGACGGUAUUGUUUUUGAUCGAUCAAAGUCCUUUUUUGUCUCGUGUCACAUUUGUGGCAUGGGGUGAACCUUGAAACGGUAUCUAUGUUCCACACCGUUGGUGCACAUGCGCCGAUGUUGUGGCCCGUUGAGCAUUUCUUGGUCUCGUGGAUACAGAACCUGAUGUGGGCAUGGGGUCUUAUGAGAUCCUCGUCUGUCCUCGUUGAGUGUUCACGCUUCUUUAAAACGACCACCUGUCACGUAUUGGCUCGUACCAGCGUGGUGGGUUAUGUCGAAGAGGAAUGCUACCUGGUUGAUCCUGCCAGUAGUCAUAUGCUUG